CCUACGGGAGGCAGCAGUGAGGAAUAUUGGUCAAUGGGCGCGAGCCUGAACCAGCCAAGUCGCGUGAAGGAUGACGGCCCUACGGGUUGUAAACUUCUUUUAUAAAGGAAUAAGGUGGGGCCCGUUUGCCUUUUUGUAGUUACUGUAUGAAUAAGGAUCGGCUAACUCCGUGCCAGCAGCCGCGGUAAUACGGAGGAUCCGAGCGUUAUCCGGAUUUAUUGGGUUUAAAGGGAGCGUAGAUGGGUUGUUAAGUCAGUUGUGAAAGUUUGCGGCUCAACCGUAAAAGUGCAAUUGAUACUGGCAGUCUUGAGUACAGGUGAGGUAGGCGGAAUUCGUGGUGUAGCGGUGAAAUGCUUAGAUAUCACGAAGAACUCCGAUUGCGAAGGCAGCUUAUUAAACUGCCACUGACACUGAGGCUCGAAAGUGUGGGUAUCAAACAGGAUUAGAUACCCCGGUAGUC
Molecule: ribosomal RNA, 460 nt
Filed under: uncultured bacterium
Lineage: Bacteria
Description: partial 16S ribosomal RNA
Rfam family: Bacterial small subunit ribosomal RNA
Source: RNAcentral